This 482-nucleotide ribosomal RNA is filed under the name uncultured bacterium. RNAcentral's name for it is "partial 16S ribosomal RNA". It matches the Rfam family "Bacterial small subunit ribosomal RNA", at positions 29 to 507 of the family's 1533-position model. The record is from RNAcentral.
ACGAACGCUGGCGGCGUGCUUAACCCAUGCAAGUCGAACGCUGAAGCUCAGCUUUUGUUGGGUGGAUGAGUGGCGAACGGGUGAGUAACACGUGAGUAACCUGCCUCCUUCUUUGGGAUAACGCCCGGAAACGGGUGCUAAUACUGGAUAUUCACUGGUCUUCGCAUGGGGGUUGGUGGAAAGGGUUUUUCUGGUGGGGGAUGGGCUCGCGGCCUAUCAGCUUGUUGGUGGGGUGAUGGCCUACCAAGGCUUUGACGGGUAGCCGGCCUGAGAGGGUGACCGGUCACAUUGGGACUGAGAUACGGCCCAGACUCCUACGGGAGGCAGCAGUGGGGAAUAUUGCACAAUGGGCGCAAGCCUGAUGCAGCGACGCCGCGUGAGGGAUGGAGGCCUUCGGGUUGUGAACCUCUUUCGCUCAUGGUCAAGCCGCAACAAUGGUUGUGGUGAGGGUAGUGGGUAAAGAAGCGCCGGCUAACUACGUG